This is a non-coding RNA of Xenopus tropicalis (tropical clawed frog), 46 nucleotides long. Lineage: Eukaryota; Metazoa; Chordata; Amphibia; Anura; Pipidae. The record is from Rfam.
CCAAAGGCUCUUUUCAGAGCCCCCCACUCUGUCUAAACAGCGCUGU